RNAcentral lists this ribosomal RNA (841 nucleotides) under uncultured beta proteobacterium. RNAcentral describes it as "bacterial SSU rRNA". It matches the Rfam family "Bacterial small subunit ribosomal RNA", at positions 28 to 863 of the family's 1533-position model. The record is from RNAcentral. Lineage: Bacteria; Pseudomonadati; Pseudomonadota; Betaproteobacteria.
AUUGAACGCUGGCGGAAUGCUUUACACAUGCAAGUCGAGCGGCAGCGCGGGGGCAACCCUGGCGGCGAGCGGCGAACGGGUGAGUAAUGUAUCGGAACGUACCCUGUCGUGGGGGAUAACACAGCGAAAGCUGUGCUAAUACCGCAUACGACCUGAGGGUGAAAGCGGGGGACCGUAAGGCCUCGCGCGAUAGGAGCGGCCGAUAUCGGAUUAGCUAGUUGGUGAGGUAAAGGCUCACCAAGGCGACGAUCCGUAGCUGGUCUGAGAGGACGACCAGCCACACUGGAACUGAGACACGGUCCAGACUCCUACGGGAGGCAGCAGUGGGGAAUUUUGGACAAUGGGGGCAACCCUGAUCCAGCCAUUCCGCGUGAGUGAAGAAGGCCUUCGGGUUGUAAAGCUCUUUCAGCAGGAACGAAACGGUGGUCCCUAAUACGGGUUACUAAUGACGGUACCUGAAGAAGAAGCACCGGCUAACUACGUGCCAGCAGCCGCGGUAAUACGUAGGGUGCGAGCGUUAAUCGGAAUUACUGGGCGUAAAGCGUGCGCAGGCGGUUCUAUAAGACAGAUGUGAAAUCCCCGGGCUUAACCUGGGAACUGCGUUUGUGACUGUAGGACUUGAGUGUGGCAGAGGGGGGUGGAAUUCCACGUGUAGCAGUGAAAUGCGUAGAGAUGUGGAGGAACACCGAUGGCGAAGGCAGCCCCCUGGGUCAACACUGACGCUCAUGCACGAAAGCGUGGGGAGCAAACAGGAUUAGAUACCCUGGUAGUCCACGCCCUAAACGAUGCGAACUAGGUGUUGGGGAAGGAGACUUUCUUAGUACCGCAGCUAACGCGUGAA